RNAcentral lists this ribosomal RNA (476 nucleotides) under uncultured bacterium. RNAcentral's name for it is "SSU rRNA". It matches the Rfam family "Bacterial small subunit ribosomal RNA", at positions 26 to 521 of the family's 1533-position model. The record is from RNAcentral.
AGGAUGAACGCUGGCGGCGUGCCUAACACAUGCAAGUCGAACGUCCUGUCUCGCAAGAGGCAGGGAGUGGCGGACGGGUGAGUACCACGUGGGUCAUCUACCGUGAGGUGAGGAAUACCGGCGAGAAAUCGCCGACAAGACCGCAUAGCCUCGGUGCAAGUCGAGCAAAGCUCUUUCGAGAGAGGGAGCGCCACACGAGGAGCCUGCGCCCGAUUAGCUAGCUGGUGGAGUAACGGUUCACCAGGGCGACGAUCGGUAGCUGGUCUGAGAGGACGAUCAGCCACACUGGGAUUGAGAACGGCCCAGACUCCUACGGGGGGCAGCAGUGAGGAAUUUUCGUCAAUGGGGGCAACCCUGAACGAGCAACGCCGCGUGCAGGAAGAAGGUUUUCGGAUCGUAAACUGCUUUUCUCGGGGAAGAGAAUGGACGGUACCCGAGGAAUCAGCCCCGGCUAACUACGCGCCAGCAGCCGCGGU